UACGUAGGGUGCAAGCGUUGUCCGGAAUCAUUGGGCGUAAAGCGCGCGUAGGUGGCUUCGUAAGUCCGUUGUGAAAGUCAAAGGCUCAACCUUUGACUGCCGAUGGAUACUGCGAAGCUAGAGUACGGAAGAGGCGAGUGGAAUUCCUGGUGUAGCGGUGGAAUGCGCAGAUAUCAGGAGGAACACCAAUAGCGAAGGCAGCUCGCUGGGACGUUACUGACACUAAGGCGCGAAAGCGUGGGGAGCGAACAGG
This 253-nucleotide ribosomal RNA is filed under the name uncultured bacterium. RNAcentral's name for it is "partial 16S ribosomal RNA". It matches the Rfam family "Bacterial small subunit ribosomal RNA", at positions 524 to 776 of the family's 1533-position model. The record is from RNAcentral.